This 602-nucleotide ribosomal RNA is filed under the name Pseudohongiella spirulinae. Its description in RNAcentral is "bacterial SSU rRNA". It matches the Rfam family "Bacterial small subunit ribosomal RNA", at positions 70 to 663 of the family's 1533-position model. The record is from RNAcentral. Lineage: Bacteria; Pseudomonadati; Pseudomonadota; Gammaproteobacteria; Pseudomonadales; Pseudohongiellaceae.
UAACAGGAGAAGCUUGCUUCUCGCUGACGAGCGGCGGACGGGUGAGUAACGCGUAGGAAUCUACCCAGUAGCGGGGGAUAGCCCGGGGAAACUCGGAUUAAUACCGCAUACGCCCUAUGGGGGAAAGCAGGGGAUCUUCGGACCUUGCACUAUUGGAUGAGCCUGCGUUGGAUUAGCUAGUUGGUGGGGUAAAGGCCUACCAAGGCGACGAUCCAUAGCUGGUCUGAGAGGAUGAUCAGUCACACCGGAACUGAGACACGGUCCGGACUCCUACGGGAGGCAGCAGUGGGGAAUAUUGGACAAUGGGGGCAACCCUGAUCCAGCCAUGCCGCGUGUGUGAAGAAGGCCUUCGGGUUGUAAAGCACUUUAAGUUGGGAGGAAGGCUCUGUAGUUAAUACCUGCAGGGAUUGACGUUACCAACAGAAUAAGCACCGGCUAACUCCGUGCCAGCAGCCGCGGUAAUACGGAGGGUGCAAGCGUUAAUCGGAAUUACUGGGCGUAAAGCGCGCGUAGGCGGCUGAUUAAGUCGGGUGUGAAAGCCCCGGGCUCAACCUGGGAACUGCAUCCGAUACUGGUCGGCUAGAGUAUGAGAGAGGGAGGUA